UUACGGCCAUAUAACGCUGUAACACCUGCUCUUGUACGCUCACCGAAGUUAAGCAACGUCGAGUCUGGUUAGUACCUAGAUGAGUGACCACUUGGGAAUA
This is a non-coding RNA of Acanthosepion pharaonis, 100 nucleotides long. NCBI's taxonomy places the organism in Eukaryota, Metazoa, Mollusca, Cephalopoda, Sepiida, Sepiidae. The record is from the annotation of a GenBank genome assembly.